This is a long non-coding RNA of Magnolia sinica, 871 nucleotides long. RefSeq lists it as uncharacterized. The transcript is spliced from 3 exons. The record is from RefSeq and is a predicted model, not a curated record. NCBI's taxonomy places the organism in Eukaryota, Viridiplantae, Streptophyta, Magnoliopsida, Magnoliales, Magnoliaceae.
UCUCUCUCUCUCUCUCUCUCAGCCCACGGCUUCUCUCCGACCGAUAGAGAGAGAGAGAGGGAGGACAGUUUACUGCGAAACCAUGCCUCUGCAUUCUCUCGCCUCUGCCUCGCCUUCUCUCUCCCGAGAAAAACCCGACCCCCCUCUUCCCUUCCUCUCUCACCGGUCUCCUCUCGCCCCAUGAAACUCUCAAUCUCUCUCCUAUCUAUAAUGGCGAUGAUGGUGAGAAGAUGAUGAUGUGAUCUAGUCCGUUAGUCUCCAUUUUGAUGGCAUCCAAAACCCGGCAACAACCACCAGCUUGUUAGAUGCCUUCAAUCUCAUUCUAGAUGAUGCUUGGAACUUCGUUGUUUCGUUUGAGAGCUACAACAACAUCUACCACAACAAUGCUAAAGAGAAGCUCUUCAAAAAUCAAUUUGUUUUUGGCACCUUCGACGCCAAUGGUUACGAAGUGAAGCACAGAUGUUGCAUAAGAAGAAUGAUGAUAUGAAUAUGAACUCCUCUUGGAAAAGGAGUUAAAAAAAGGAAAUAGCUGAGGAGUAAAAAAAAAAAAAAGAAUUAGCUGAGUAAAGAAAAGGAAUUAGUUGCUCUCUCUCUCUCAUGCAUAUAUCCAUGAUCCCCUGUUUAUUAGUUGGUAAACUUCCACACUAGUGAUGCAUUUUCUAUGACUUGCAUGUUAUGUGAAAGCAUGAAUCUAGAGCAUUUGGCAUCCAUUAAGUUCCAAUAAUUUGUUUCCAAUUAGGUAAUGAACUUUUUAGAAGUUAAAUUACGUCAUCUUUGGAAGAUCAAUAGCAUGUAAUAUUGCUUGGAUGAAGUAGUCUGCUAUUACUGUCAUUUACUCUAAGCACCAAACACUAUGGGAUUUUGGUUUUGU